Molecule: non-coding RNA, 126 nt
Organism: Veillonella parvula
Lineage: Bacteria; Bacillati; Bacillota; Negativicutes; Veillonellales; Veillonellaceae
Source: Rfam
AUCUUGGAGAGUUUGAUCCUGGCUCAGGACGAACGCUGGCGGCGUGCUUAACACAUGCAAGUCGAACGAAGAGCGAUGGAAGCUUGCUUCUAUCAAUCUUAGUGGCGAACGGGUGAGUAACGCGUA